CCUGCGGAGGGAUCAUUACUGAGUUACCGCUCUAUAACCCUUUGUGAACAUACCUAACCGUUGCUUCGGCGGGCAGGGGAAGCCUCUCGCGGGCCUCCCCUCCCGGCGCCGGCCCCACCACGGGGACGGGGCGCCCGCCGGAGGAAACCAAACUCUAUUUACACGACGUCUCUUCUGAGUGGCACAAGCAAAUAAUUAAAACUUUUAACAACGGAUCUCUUGGUUCUGGCAUCGAUGAAGAACGCAGCGAAAUGCGAUAAGUAAUGUGAAUUGCAGAAUUCAGUGAAUCAUCGAAUCUUUGAACGCACAUUGCGCUCGCCAGCAUUCUGGCGAGCAUGCCUGUUCGAGCGUCAUUUCAACCCUCAAGCACCGCUUGGUUUUGGGGCCCCACGGCACACGUGGGCCCUUAAAGGUAGUGGCGGACCCUCCCGGAGCCUCCUUUGCGUAGUAACUAACGUCUCGCACUGGGAUUCGGAGGGACUCUUGCCGUAAAACCCCCCAAUUUUUUACAGGUUGACCUCGGAUCAGGUAGGAAUACCCGCUGAACUUAAGCAUAUCAAA
This 561-nucleotide ribosomal RNA is filed under the name Colletotrichum sp. 1 ONH-2014. RNAcentral's name for it is "eukaryotic LSU rRNA". The stretch from base 200 to 353 matches the Rfam family "5.8S ribosomal RNA". Lineage: Eukaryota; Fungi; Ascomycota; Sordariomycetes; Glomerellales; Glomerellaceae. The record is from RNAcentral.